This is an RNA transcript of Leucoraja erinaceus (little skate), 3604 nucleotides long. It is a transcript of the gene named transcriptional activator protein Pur-alpha-like, with no coding region annotated. The transcript has 5 exons. The record is from RefSeq and is a predicted model, not a curated record. NCBI's taxonomy places the organism in Eukaryota, Metazoa, Chordata, Chondrichthyes, Rajiformes, Rajidae.
CGCUUUCCCUUUCCCUCACCAUCGAUUGUGCCAAGGUGGCAGCACUGUGAUCGGGCCUUCCUAAUAAAACUGCACUUCACUGUUCGGCCAUCUCAAUUCCGGCAGGUAAUCACACCUUUAUUUGCAAAGUCUGCGAGUGAAAAGCUUCGAGUCUCGCGAGAUCGCCGGCUGCUGGGAGUUUGGAAGAAGGCUACCAUCAUGGCGGACAGAGACAGUGGAAGCGAGCAAGGGGCGGCCAGCUCCAGCUUGCAACAGCUGCAGCAGGAGACGCAGGAACUGGCUUCCAAGAGGGUGGACAUUCAGAAUAAGCGCUUCUACCUAGACGUGAAGCAGAAUGUGAAAGGCCGUUUCCUGAAGAUAGCGGAGGUGGGAGCGGGCGGCAAUAAAAGUCGUCUAACUCUCUCCAUGUCUGUUGCUGUGGAGUUCCGCGACUACCUGGGCGAUUUCAUCGAACAUUACGCGCAGCUCGGCCCAAGCAACCCGGACAUGCAGACGGACGAGCCGAGGAGAGCUCUGAAAAGUGAAUUCUUGGUGCGGGAAAACCGCAAAUAUUACAUGGAUUUAAAAGAGAACCAACGGGGCCGGUUCCUACGGAUUCGCCAGACCGUGAACCGGGGACAUGGCCUUGGCUCGCAGGGUCAAACUAUCGCCCUCCCCGCUCAGGGGCUGAUUGAAUUCCGCGAUGCACUCGCUAAGCUAAUCGACGAUUAUGGCAUCGAAGAGGAACCCACUGAGCUGCCCGAAGGGACAUCGCUCACCGUGGACAACAAGCGAUUUUUCUUUGACGUUGGGUCAAACAAGUAUGGCGUUUUUAUGAGAGUAAGUGAGGUGAAACCAUCGUACCGCAAUUCUAUCACGAUACCCUAUAAAGUGUGGGCCAAGUUUGGAAAUACUUUCAGUAAAUACGCAGAGGAAAUGAAGAAAAUACAGGAGAAACAACGGGAGAAAAGGUCUGAACAGCAAGAAGAAGCUCCCGGAGAUGAUGUGGAGGAAGACUGAUAUAACUGUAAUUAAAAACUCUUCCUGUAAAACUGUAACUGUUUAACUCCGAGGGAGCACCACCCACCAAACCUCCACAACUGACAGUUCGACUUGUCACCCAUCGCUGGAUGUUCGUCCACUUAUCAACCGUGUAAACCGUCUGGACUGAAGACAGACUCCUGGACCAACUGAUUGGCCUCUGGACAUCAACAAGCCUACCAUCUGCUAGCCUAAGAAGUGCACCUCCAUUAACUAGGUUUUUGAGAAUUCCUGGAAAGGAUGACCAGUAUUUCCAAAUUGUCAGAUUUGCUACUCCAAACGAUGUUUUACAUUUUUUUUAAAUUUCCAAUUUUUCGAGUUGACCACCUGAGAAUUUGUCCACAGGGAUUUUAUUUCUCAUUGUAAACUGCAUUCAUUGACGAAAAUGAAAUAUUUAUUUAAAAGAUUGUCAUUUCUUGGCUAUUAUAAUACCAUUGAAUCUACUUUCCUUAAUUGCCUUAUCCAACUGUUCCCUUGGAGUUAUGCAAUUGGCGGUAAGUUUAAAGACUUAAUAUUUAUAUUUAUGAUGGGAUACAUCACUCAAGAUUAAUUAAAUUCUGUCAAAUAAGAUCACAGAACUGGAGGAUUCUUUAUUAAGAUACUUUUUUGCUGUCCGUCAUCUUAAGAUCUAAAAUUUAUUGAUUAAUUCUACAAUAUACUCUUUCAAAAAAAAUGACAGAUAUUGUAGAUCUGUUUACUCUCUUAAUCCUCAGGGUUAUUAAAAUAAGCACAUUUUUAUAGCUUAGAACCAUGUUGGGAAAGUAUAAGGUUACAACAAUUGCGGGUAUAAAAAAUAUUUAUUUCAAUCUAGGUUAAAUGAGAAAUCCCUCAAUUUGUCUGUGAAGAUCUGAUGUGAAAUAAAUCUGAGCGAUUAUAACCCAAUUUCUAGUUAAGGACUGAGUGGCUUAUAUAUGCAAUCUGCUGACCAAUUUAACAUCCAUCUACUUGUCUGAAAAUGCUGCUGGAUGUCCAAAAUGAAAUGUUUCAUUAUAUAGAAUAGAUCAUUUUUUAAUUUGUGGUCUCCAGAACUCACAAAAAGCAGCAUUUUCAAAAUGUUAAGAGUAUCCACAAAACUGGAUGAAUAACUAUAAAAUAUUACCUUAAGAUUAAUUAAUCAUUCCUAAUAAUUUUAAAGACGGGUGCAUGGACUACACCUUUUUACUUUCCACUGUAGGCGGCACAGUAGUACAGCUGGUGGAACUGCUGCCUCAGCACCAGGAGCCCUGGUUCAAUCCUCUCCUCGGUUGCUGUCUCUGUGGAUUUUACAUGUUCUCCCUGUGACCACAUGGGCUUCCUGUGUCCUCCACGUUCCUCCCACCUCCAAAGAUGGAUGGAUUUGUACGUCAACUGGCCUCUGUAAAUUGUUCCCAGUGUAGGGGUGGAUGAGAAAGUGGGCUAACAGAGAACCAACAUGAAUGGGCAAUCAAUGAUCAGGAUGAACUUGGUGAGUGAAGGACCCGUUUCCAAGCUGUAUCUCUCUAAACGUUCCACCUUAGUUCACUUCCUGCUAAUGUCCUUUGCAUUUUCAAUGUGUUUUGUCUAGAUUUAGGACCUAUUACACCGAUUGAUCUCAUCUUGAUGAAUUCCAUCACUCUUCCCUGAAAGACCCUGCAAAAUAAGAUGAACUAACCCCUCAUUGCACAGUACUCUCUCUGUUCAUUGCUUGGCUCCUCAUGGUAUUGGUUUAAAAAAACACCUUGUUUGCACUCUUGGAACUCUUCUUCCACAGUGUUAUUAUUAAUUUGGUUGACCAGUCUGUGGAUUUAAAUCAUUCGUAAGUACAUUCGUAUCCAUGUUGCAUGCAUCUUUACUGUUCAUUUUUGUCACUAAAGCUGAAGAAAGUUGUAUUGACUGGAAAGCAGGCCAAAAUGAUUCCAUAGAGGUUAAAUUAUGAAAAUGUUUUUGUAUACAUUCCCUGGAAAUUAGAAAAUUGAGAGAUGGUCAAAAUAACCUAUUUAAUAUGUUUAAUAUAGAGAACUUGCUUCCUCAGAUGAGGGUUUCCAGAAACAACACAGCAUCAUAAUAUAGCUAAGAAACAUUAGGGAUUGGAGUGAAAGGGUGCUAGAAAUUUGGAAAUUGCUCUUCCACUCUGGUUGAUUUGUAAAAAAGUGAGUCAUUUUGAAAGUAUUUAGUUUGUAAGUGAAGAAUACCAAGGGAUUAUCAAAUAUCCCCAUAUGAAUCAAAUUGCAAAUCAAUCAUGAAUUGAAUAGUUGAACACAUUUGAGGGGCUGAAGGAACUCCUGUUUCAUUGAUAUUACACCUAUUAUGGAAUGCCAAAAAAUAAACUGAGGAGGUUUAGACCUUUUAAUUAUGUAAACUUCAAGUGAAAGUCACAAGAGUUACUGCAUGCAACGCCUGUAGUGAUUACUGUUGAUUUUAAAAUUUGAGAGAAUAUUAUGUAGAAUUAGCAUGUUUUGAUUGGCCAGUGAUAUAAAUAAUGCAUUGUACAUAAACCAAUGGGAACUCUGAUCUGGUUUCUACAUAUUUGAACUGGAGUAUGCUGAAUGCCCUUGCACUGUAUAUUUUUUGAUUGCUUACAAUUUGCUUGACAUAAAAUGAAAAUUGAUGUUUUAGUGACAAAAUA